This 253-nucleotide ribosomal RNA is filed under the name uncultured prokaryote. RNAcentral describes it as "partial 16S ribosomal RNA". It matches the Rfam family "Bacterial small subunit ribosomal RNA", at positions 524 to 776 of the family's 1533-position model. The record is from RNAcentral.
GACAGAGGUGCCGAGCGUUAGGCGGAAUCACUGGGCUUAAAGCGUGUGUAGGCGGGUCCGGAAGUACCUUGUGAAAUCCCACGGCUCAACCGUGGAACUGCUCGGUAUACUGCGGGUCUUGAGCUGUCUAGGGGCGACCGGAACAAACGGUGGAGCGGUGAAAUGCGUAGAUAUCGAGAGGAACACCUGCGGCGAAGGCGGGUUGCUGGGCCGACACUGACGCUGAUGCGCGAAAGCCAGGGGAGCGAACGGG